AGCUUGCUCAGAUAUGACGAUGGACAUUGCAAAGAGUGGCGAACGGGUGAGUAACACGUGGGAAACCUACCUCUUAGCAGGGGAUAACAUUUGGAAACAGAUGCUAAUACCGUAUAACAAUGACAACCGCAUGGUUGUUAUUUAAAAGAUGGUUCUGCUAUCACUAAGAGAUGGUCCCGCGGUGCAUUAGCUAGUUGGUAAGGUAAUGGCUUACCAAGGCGAUGAUGCAUAGCCGAGUUGAGAGACUGAUCGGCCACAAUGGGACUGAGACACGGCCCAUACUCCUACGGGAGGCAGCAGUAGGGAAUCUUCCACAAUGGGCGAAAGCCUGAUGGAGCAACGCCGCGUGUGUGAUGAAGGGUUUCGGCUCGUAAAACACUGUUGUAAGAGAAGAAUGACAUUGAGAGUAACUGUUCAAUGUGUGACGGUAUCUUACCAGAAAGGAACGGCUAAAUACGUGCCAGCAGCCGCGGUAAUACGUAUGUUCCAAGCGUUAUCCGGAUUUAUUGGGCGUAAAGCGAGCGCAGACGGUUAUUUAAGUCUGAAGUGAAAGCCCUCAGCUCAACUGAGGAAUUGCUUUGGAAACUGGAUGACUUGAGUGCAGUAGAGGAAAGUGGAACUCCAUGUGUAGCGGUGAAAUGCGUAGAUAUAUGGAAGAACACCAGUGGCGAAGGCGGCUUUCUGGACUGUAACUGACGUUGAGGCUCGAAAGUGUGGGUAGCAAACAGGAUUAGAUACCCUGGUAGUCCACACCGUAAACGAUGAGUGCUAGGUG
RNAcentral lists this ribosomal RNA (775 nucleotides) under Weissella confusa. RNAcentral's name for it is "bacterial SSU rRNA". It matches the Rfam family "Bacterial small subunit ribosomal RNA", at positions 65 to 822 of the family's 1533-position model. The record is from RNAcentral. Lineage: Bacteria; Bacillati; Bacillota; Bacilli; Lactobacillales; Lactobacillaceae.